This 1508-nucleotide long non-coding RNA is filed under the name Ananas comosus (pineapple). RNAcentral describes it as "long non-coding RNA (ACOM_LNC014418)". The record is from RNAcentral. Lineage: Eukaryota; Viridiplantae; Streptophyta; Magnoliopsida; Poales; Bromeliaceae.
UUCGACUAAAGGUCGAAAAUUUAUAAAUACAGAGAUAUUUAGAGUUUUGCUAGAAUACUAUAAGUAAUAAACGCGUCGUUUUACUACUUAUUUAUUUUCGAUGAUAGAGAUUCUAAAUUGACGAUCAGUUUUGUUGAACAUGAUCUAUACUACUUGAAGUGUUUAGAAAUCAAAUUUCAAAUCUUUUCGACAUCAUUUGCCUAAUGAGUAAAGGGUUUUAAAAUUUGUAAUUUUAAUGGUCAAUAAGAGACGUUUUCUCAUUUAACGACGUAAAGAUAUUCAAAUCAAUUGAAUUUUUGUUCGAAAAUUCUUUAAACUAUUUAAAACAAGAUCUAUACUCUUGAUCUUGAUUCUAAGACUUCUAUCAUCAUUUUUUAAAGAAUAUUUAUUUUCAGCCAUUCAUUUUUCUGUUCACUUGAUGGAUAAAAGAACAAUAUCGAAAGUACGUGAAAUUUGAUUUCUAGAUAGUUUAAAUGGUUUAGAUCAUAUUUAACGGAGCCGAUCGUCAAUUUGGAAUCUCUAUCAUCGAAAACAAAUAGAUAGUAAAACGGCUCCUUUACUACUGAUGGUAUUCUAGCUCAACUCGAGAUAUCUAAAUUAUUCAUAAGAAUAUAAUAGUCCAAAUCUAUAUAUACAUAUAAAUACAAAAAAUCUAUAUUAUUUAUAAAAAUAUAAUAGUCCAUAGAUUAAAUAUAUAUAUAUAUAUAUAUAUAUAUAUAUAGAAUUGAGCUCCUAUGCUUUUAAAAGUACCAAGUUAUUGGUACUUGUAGAUUUUUAGCCGUUGGAUUAAGGGAUGUGCGGUUAGGAUAAUGUGAGCCUCCUAGGGUUGAGUGGGUGGUUGGUUAAAUAGUAUAAUCUAGCAGUUAAAAAUGAUCAGAGGAGUAAAUCUAAUGGUAAAAAAUUUACAAGCACCAAAUGCUUGGUGCUUUUACAAGCACCAUAGCCGAACUCUCUCUCUCUCUCUCUCUCUCUCUCGCUAUAUAUAUAUAUAUAUAGAGUAGGGCUAGAAUACUUUUACAAGUAUCACCCAAGUGAUACUUGUGUGUUUUUAGCCAUUGGAUCUACUUUUUGAUUACUAAUAGUCCUUGGAUCAAACACUAUUCCACCUACCACCAUCAUCUCAACCUCACAUCUCUCCAUCCAAGGGCUAAAAACACACAAGUAUCACUUGGGUAAUACUUUUACAAAUAUUCUAGCUCUACUCUCUCUUUCUCUCUCUCUCUCUCUCUCUCUCUCUCUCUCUAUAUAUAUAUAUAUAUAUGUAUAAUUGAGUUGCUAUAUUUUUAGAAAUAUCAAGUCAUUGGUACUUAUAGGUCUUCAGUUUUUAAAUUAAUAAUGUGCCUUUAGGAUGAUAGUGGUCUUAUAAAUUUGAGUAGGUGCGUGGUUGAUUAACUAGUAAUAUCCAACUGGUAAAAAUAGUUAAAAGAGUAGAUCUAACAGUGAAAAAUUUAUAAGCACCAGAUAUUUGAUGCUUGUAAAAGCACCGUAAUGGAAUUCUCCCCAUAUAU